GCCCAUAGGAUUGAACCGUGCUUUGCAGAUACAUAGCUCUAAGAGUCGAGUUGUUUGGGAUUGCAGCUCAAAAUGGGUGGUAGACUCCAUCUAAAGCUAAAUAUCGGGGAGAGACCGAUAGCGAACAAGUACCGUGAGGGAAAGAUGAAAAGCACUUUGGAAAGAGAGUUAAAAGUACGUGAAAUUGUCGAAAGGGAAGCGCUUGAAGUCAGCCAUGCCGCUCAAGACUCAGCCUGGCUUUUGCUUGGUGUAUUUCCUGGGUAGCAAGUCAACAUUGGUUUGGAUCGUCCGAAAAGCAUAGUCGGAAUGUGGCGCCCUCGGGCGUGUUAUAGCCUUCUAUUGGAUACGACGAUCUAGACCAAGGAACGCAGCGCGCCUUAUGGCGGGUCUUCGGACACCUUCUCACUUAUGAUGCUGGCGUAAUAAAA
Molecule: ribosomal RNA, 428 nt
Filed under: Malassezia furfur
Lineage: Eukaryota; Fungi; Basidiomycota; Malasseziomycetes; Malasseziales; Malasseziaceae
Description: partial large subunit ribosomal RNA
Rfam family: Eukaryotic large subunit ribosomal RNA
Source: RNAcentral